GCAAAAAACAGAGCUCAGGAAUAGCAUCAGUGAUUUAGAGAUUAAACUUGAAAAGAAACAAAGAAUAGCAAUAUUGGAAGAAGCAAUAAAAAAGGACAAGAAAUUACUUUUGGAAAUUUCUGUGACCAGUGGUUCUCCAGUCAAGUUAAAUGGCGAUGUUGUUACUAAACAUCUCAACCUUUUUAAAGACUGUUUGGACUCUGCAACGUCGGAUGUUCCAUUUAUUAAUAUCAUGAUGAUUGGCGAAACCGGCGCAGGGAAAUCUUCUUUUUUCAAUACCGUUGCAACAGCUUUAGAAGACAGCAGUAUUAUAAAAGACACGUACAGAGUAGGAAGUGCAGAAAGCAGAGAGAUGAGUGUUACAAAA
Long non-coding RNA from Magallana angulata, 367 nucleotides. RefSeq lists it as uncharacterized. The record is from RefSeq and is a predicted model, not a curated record. Lineage: Eukaryota; Metazoa; Mollusca; Bivalvia; Ostreida; Ostreidae. The transcript is spliced from 3 exons.